AUACGUAGGGGGCGAGCGUUGUCCGGAAUGACUGGGCGUAAAGGGCGUGUAGGCGGCCGAUUAAGUCUGAGUGAAAGUCCUGCUUUCCAGGGGGGAAUUGCUUUGGAGACUGGUUGGCUUGAGUGCGGGAGAGGGAAGUGGAAUUCCCCGUGUAGCGGUGAAAUGCGUAGAGAUUGGGAGGAACACCAGUGGCGAAGGCGACUUACUGGGCCGUAACUGACGCUGAGGCGCGAAAGCGUGGGGAGCGAACAGGAUUAGAUACCCUGGUAGUCCACGCUGUAAACGAUGAAUGCUAUGUGUAGGGGGUAUCGACCCCUCCUGUGCCGGAGUAAACGCAAUAAGCAUUCCGCCUGGGGAGUACGGCCGCAAGGUUGAAACUCAAAUGAAUUGACGGGG
RNAcentral lists this ribosomal RNA (396 nucleotides) under uncultured bacterium. RNAcentral's name for it is "partial 16S ribosomal RNA". It matches the Rfam family "Bacterial small subunit ribosomal RNA", at positions 523 to 918 of the family's 1533-position model. The record is from RNAcentral.